Nasonia vitripennis (jewel wasp) is the source of this 2196-nucleotide long non-coding RNA. RefSeq lists it as uncharacterized. The transcript is spliced from 3 exons. NCBI's taxonomy places the organism in Eukaryota, Metazoa, Arthropoda, Insecta, Hymenoptera, Pteromalidae. The record is from RefSeq and is a predicted model, not a curated record.
GUCUCGCGAUCGACUGCAACGCGAGCAGCGAAGACGAGUCAGCGAUAAGAGUCCGCCGAGCCGUACUACGAUGCAUAGCGUCCGAAUGCAUCGUAGACGUUGGCUCAGAGGUUAGAGCACAGGCUUCUGGCUCUCGGGUCCGCGAGUUCGAGUCCCGUCGUCUACUUUUUCGCUUUCGACUCUGUCUCCUCCAUCCAUUUCACAAACAUUUACACAUACACAUACAUUUGGUCGGUGGCUCUCGGAGUUUAUUCUCGUUGGGGUUUCUCUAUAGGCAUUGUUAAUGCAAGUGCAAAAACGGGCGAGACAGAGAGAGAGAGAGAAUACGAAAGGCGAAAGUCGAGAUGAGUAGCAGGAGGAAGGAGGGUUAUGAGGAAGUAACAAAGGAAGAGAGUGAUUCAGAAAAGAAAAUGGACGUGUAAUGUGAACGAAGAGAAGCGCAGAGAGAGAAGAAGCGGAUAAGAAUUAAGCGUUAGCGAAACCGAAGGGUUUGGGACUGGGAAAUGAGACGCCCUCUGGGCCGAGCUUCCAUGCCAACAGUCCUAAUUGUUAAGUUGUUGCAACUGCAGAAUCUUGAACUAUCGUGCAACUUGGAAGAAAAUCUCAACAUAGUACAAUAGAAGCCGUAAAUCCAUCAUAAAAUCAAAAGAAAGUCGGCGUUCAGAAUUUUCCCACGACAUAUAGAAAUCAGGCACAAUCGUCACUGUAUGCAUAGAUAGGCGCAGUAAACAUGCGGUGGCAGGGAUAACAGAGAUAGGAAGAAGAAAUGCCGCAUAGAAAAGGAGGAGCAGUAAUACUCCGAAAAGCGAGAGCAGAGAGGUUCGUGGCGCGGAAAAGUGGAAAGAAAAUUCGAGAGGACUAUACCUGCGUCUAACGCCCAUAGACCAGAGGUGCGUGCAUAGUUCCCUGUCCCCCUACUUCUGCUUCUCGCCACGGCUGCCCCCACGUAUACGAAGGUAAAAAUCUCUCCGCUCUCGCCAUCGAGCCAACGAACACAAGCCCAGUAGCAUAGCGCGCAUUGCGCAGGCGUGUAGAGGAACAUCUGCUCAUUUAUAUUUUUGGGUGGUGCACGUUCGAGGCUGCGGGCGCGUGCAGCAGACCUCUUCUGCGCUUCGAUUUUCGACAUUUCCGAGCGAGCUCUCCACGGCUUCAGACCUGCUUGAAGAUACCAUUCUACGAAAACCAGGCUCAACAUAUGAACCAACAUGAAUUAUUACCCUCGGAAGAAGUACUUUUUCGAAAACUUUUACUACAACAAGCUGAAGCGAGAGAAGAGGAAACAUCUGAGAAGAAGAAACGACAUCCUGAAUUCGACGGGCGAAGAUAUCGGAGAGUUCGCUCCACCCGAGAGAUACAGACACGUUAAAAGAAUUAGCUAUACAGACUGGUUGCUAAGACGAACGGAGAGACAAUGCAACAGAAUAUGCAACGAUUCCUUUAACGAAGGCAAUUUCAGUGAAAGUGGUAGUGACAUUUUUAAUUUGAAUAAAAUCAUGCGCUACGAUUGUGGCGAAUACGCUAUAAAUGGCAUUCGUAUGUCUUACGAGUAUAUUAUGGACACUCUUUCCAUCUACAUUGGAUACAUUUUAAUUUAUACCAUAACUUUGUCAGAGCAUGAAGAUGCCAACAUUCCGUGGCAAGAGAUUCAAUGGGAUUGAUCGGAUAUGAGGCCCGUUUUUUACUGCGUUUAAUCGAUUAAAUUGCACAUACUCUCAAAUUUCUCUCUCAAUCGAGUCAGAAUAGUCAGAUUUUUAAGGAAUUACUGAAACAAUUGUUGCGUGAAAGCGAAAUAGACUGUUGCAGCAUAAACUGUGUUCAAAAUAUUUUAUUACGGCCGCUGACGCUGCAUAGGUCGGUUAGUCAGUUCAGUUGGCGUGCAUCAGCUGCUCGCGCAUGCGCACUGAUUCAUUUUAUGCCGAGCCCGUAUGCCUGUGUGUAUAUACAUAUACCUAGCCAGAUUUCUAGAUGAAUAGCCCCGAUGGAAUAAAAUUAAGCCCUAAAAUUGAGCGUUUUCAUAGCUAGCUAGAAACUAGACCAAAUUUAUGCGAGAUCAUUGAUGUGCAAAAUUUUUUCUUGUAUUUUUAUAUAAACAAAUCUUUUUUACUAAUGAACGACUGAUAAACGUGCAAUUUUACUUUUAUAUUUUUAGUCUCUUGAUGAUUUAAUCUCAAAUAAAAAAAAUAAAAAAAAAAAAAC